RNAcentral lists this ribosomal RNA (480 nucleotides) under uncultured bacterium. Its description in RNAcentral is "SSU rRNA". It matches the Rfam family "Bacterial small subunit ribosomal RNA", at positions 26 to 523 of the family's 1533-position model. The record is from RNAcentral.
AGGACGAACGCUGGCGGCGUGCUUAACACAUGCAAGUCGAGCGAGGCCCUCUCUUCGGAGAGGUGCCCUAGCGGCGAACGGGUGAGUAACACGUGGGCAACCUGCCCCUAGCACUGGGAUAAGCCCGGGAAACCGGGUCUAAUACCGGAUAUGACCUUCAAGGGCAUCCUCGAAGGUGUAAAGGAUUCUGGCUAGGGAUGGGCCCGCGGCCUAUCAGCUUGUUGGUGGGGUAAUGGCCCACCAAGGCAACGACGGGUAGCCGGCCUGAGAGGGCGACCGGCCACACUGGGACUGAGACACGGCCCAGACUCCUACGGGAGGCAGCAGUGGGGAAUAUUGCACAAUGGGCGAAAGCCUGAUGCAGCGACGCCGCGUGAGGGAUGACGGCCUUCGGUUGUAAACCUCUUCAGCUCCGACGAAGCGAAGUGACGGUAGGAGCAGAAGAAGCACCGGCCAACUACGUGCCAGCAGCCGCGGUAA